RNAcentral lists this ribosomal RNA (290 nucleotides) under Exosphaeroma bruscai. Its description in RNAcentral is "partial 16S ribosomal RNA". It matches the Rfam family "Bacterial large subunit ribosomal RNA", at positions 2070 to 2572 of the family's 2925-position model. Lineage: Eukaryota; Metazoa; Arthropoda; Malacostraca; Isopoda; Sphaeromatidae. The record is from RNAcentral.
AAAGCUUUAAUACCCCUAUAAGACGACAAGACCCUAUAAAACUUUACCUUCUACCUUUUUAUAGCCUAGAAACAACACUAAUUGAACGAAGGUUUUGCUGGGGCGGUAAAUCUUAUUAAACAAAUUUUACUUUAACAUAGUGUAUGAAAUUUACGAACACUCUAAGUAAUAAAGAACAAGUUACUUUAGGGAUAACAGCGCAAUGUUUUUUUAGAGCCCUCAUCGGCAAAAACGUUUACGACCUCGAUGUUGAAUUGAAGCACCUCCACGAGGCAGCCCUCGUGAAAGGA